This 214-nucleotide long non-coding RNA is filed under the name Capsicum annuum. Its description in RNAcentral is "long non-coding RNA (CANN_LNC007994)". Lineage: Eukaryota; Viridiplantae; Streptophyta; Magnoliopsida; Solanales; Solanaceae. The record is from RNAcentral.
GAAUCCCUCAAAAUGAGAAAUUACAUAACAACUUUUCUUAUCCUCUGUGAUAUUAUUCACUUGGAAGACCCUCUCACAUACGGAUUCCCAUACAAGAAACUCUUCGGGAUCACUCUCUCCUUUGAAGAUUGGAAGUCCCAUUUAGAUAGUGUUAAGGCCUACAUCCCUAUCUCUAACACCUUGGCCAACUAUACCUUUAAGUCCAUAGUUUCCC